Molecule: transfer RNA, 74 nt
Filed under: bacterium
Lineage: Bacteria
Also listed under: 1 other name
Description: tRNA-Arg
Rfam family: tRNA
About the family: Transfer RNA (tRNA) molecules are approximately 80 nucleotides in length.
Source: RNAcentral
GUGUCCGUAGCUCAGUUGGAUAGAGCAACGGCCUUCUAAGCCGUGGGUCGGGGGUUCGAAUCCCUUCGGGCACG